GUGAACGCUGGCGGCGUGCUUAACACAUGCAAGUCGAACGGACUUAAUGAGCUUGCUUAUUAAGUUAGUGGCGCACGGGUGAGUAAUAUAUAGCUAACCUGCCCUUUAGUGGGGGACAACAGUUGGAAACGACUGCUAAUACCCCAUACUCCUUCUUGUCUUAAGAUAAGUUGGGAAAGAUUUAUCGCUAAAGGAUGGGGCUUUAUUGUAUCAGCUAGUUGGUGGGGUAAUGGCCUACCAAGGCAAUGACGCAUACCUGGUCUGAGAGGAUGAUCAGGCACACUGGAACUGAGACACGGUCCAGACUCCUACGGGAGGCAGCAGUGGGGAAUAUUGCACAAUGGAGGAAACUCUGAUGCAGCAACGCCGCGUGGAGGAUGACGCAUUUCGGUGUGUAAACUCCUUUUAUAGGGGAAGAUAAUGACGGUACCCUAUGAAUAAGCACCGGCUAACUCCGU
RNAcentral lists this ribosomal RNA (458 nucleotides) under uncultured bacterium. Its description in RNAcentral is "bacterial SSU rRNA". It matches the Rfam family "Bacterial small subunit ribosomal RNA", at positions 29 to 506 of the family's 1533-position model. The record is from RNAcentral.